UAGCAGGCUUAUAUUUGAAAUAGUUGAGGGCCACUUGUGUUGUUUCUAUAUGGGUGCACACCAAAUUAAACCUUCCGAGAAGAUUAAUGUGCUCAUGAUUUACCUUCUGAAAAUGGGAACUUGUGAUCCUUCUGCGUGUGAUGAGCUGGAUAUGAAAAAGAAUGAUGUAGAUCUGCAGCUCUAUAAUCUGAACCGAAUUAGGAACGAAGAGCUCAAGAUUUUGUUUUGUUCAUGAAGAUGCAUAAUCAAGAGGAACCACGAGGAUUCCUAAGAACACUUGAGGUGCAGCAACAUCACUUAACCUUUUCAUGUUACCCUAGAUGAUUUAUCAUCCUUGCUUGCCCCUCCCGACAAGGAUUCAUAUCAAGAGUUCAAUACUUGUUGGGGGUUCCUCGCAAUGCACGCACAGAGAGGCAUAAUUUCUUUGCUUCCCCCAUCAUCUCUGCAAUAAUAUGGCGUGCAUGUGCAAAAAGAAGGAUCUGAUGGUCUACUAAGGGCUUAUAGGAAUGAAGAGCGGCUUAUCUUCUUUACGUGUUUAUCUGGUAAAUAUUCAUCUCUCAGGCAAUACAAAUCGUAUGGUUACAAGUUCAACAACAACAUGGGGAGCACUGGCGUGGUAGUCCGACGGUAGAGGGAUGGCUGGGCAACAGCCUACCGAGGAGUUGGAGGGAGGGCUUGAUUGGGCCACACCUGUCCACGAGGGCUCGUUGGUGGACUAAUCAAGAAGGGGGGAGGGGCUGGGUGUAUCUGCAACACGCGGUUCCGGCUGGUGUGCUCCUCGGCGGUGUCCGGGACAGGUGGAUGUGUGGGCGGCUGCGUGUGUGAGUGUGCUUCGGUGAUGCGUGAAGAGGACGCGGGGUGGCCAGUGCGGUGCCCUGGUGAGCAGGUGGUUUGAUCCGGACGAAUUUGGCCAUCGUGGCUCGACGUUGGACUUGCUGGUGCAUGUUGUGCAGAGCUCGAGAGGUUGAUCCGGGCGAAAGCUUGUCUCCGGAGUUUCCAAGAGCCGGUGAUGGCAAAGCUUUCGAGUGUCGUUUCCUUCCUAUGGGCAUCGCCGAGGUAUUCUCAGCCGCAAUUUAUGCUGCUUCGGAGGAAACUCUAGAGUGUCGUUUCCUUCCUAUGGGCAUCGCCGAGGUAUUCUCAGCCGCAAUUUAUGCUGCUUCGGAGGAAACUCUAGAUUCAUGUGAUCGGACGAUGACGGUGCUUUGGCAUCAUAUCCCUCUCCAGGGUUUCAUCUUUCGAGCUAUGCAUUAGCAUGCUGGGCCGAUGGAAGAUGGAAGCAGAUGCAUUUAUAACAAGGGCACUGGCCACAGGUUUACAACGACUUACUGGUUGUACUGAUGGAGCAGAGUGCAUAUUUGUGCAGAGUCUACAAAGAGUAACUGAAAGACUCGACUGAUCAGAUUUGUCAGGAGGGCUUUCUUAUUUAUGUAUCCAAUUUUAUGCAUGCCAGAGGAAGAAGAUCAAGCUUUUAGUCAGCUGAGUUGAAGAAGCAAGUACCUGAAGAAAUGGACAGAUUGACAUUUAAAAAUCCUGAAGAUAUGAACAUACAAUCUUGCUGAUUCAUGUGUACUAGCCUGCUCAUUCAUAUAGUUUAUAAUCUGAGGAAAUAUUUGCCGUCUAUGUUAACCUCCAGUCUUGUACUGCUGAAGGUUGUAGUUUGUGUUGUAUCAUAUGUGGGCAUGUUCUUUACUUCAAUCUAGACUUACGUGCCUUUGUGUUAAGUUGUCUUACAUCUCAAGUUUUGUAUUUUCAUGUUUCAUGAAUUAUGUGGGUAUGUGGCAGCCCACAUAAUACCACAUACAGUAUGUGGGCAGCCCACAUAAUCCCACUUAAAUAAGUGGACAUAUGUGGCAGGAAGUGGGCAACUGCAGGUUGUCCCACCUACAGGCUGAGUGGAAGAGAGUUCGUAUUUGCCGUUGUAUGAUGAAAACUGGAUGACAUCUUAUGAUGAAAACUGGAUGCCACCGUGCUUAACGUGUAUUUCUAAAUAAAAAGAAUAAUUUGAUCAAUCUGUUCUUAUUUUUGUUAUUCGAUGGCAACUCAUGGUUAUUCGGCUUUUGCCCGUAGCAACGCACGGGC
Triticum aestivum (bread wheat) is the source of this 2079-nucleotide long non-coding RNA. RefSeq lists it as uncharacterized. The record is from RefSeq and is a predicted model, not a curated record. The transcript has 3 exons. Lineage: Eukaryota; Viridiplantae; Streptophyta; Magnoliopsida; Poales; Poaceae.